This 497-nucleotide ribosomal RNA is filed under the name uncultured bacterium. Its description in RNAcentral is "partial 16S ribosomal RNA". It matches the Rfam family "Bacterial small subunit ribosomal RNA", at positions 28 to 507 of the family's 1533-position model. The record is from RNAcentral.
GAUGAACGCUGGCGGCGUGCCUAAUACAUGCAAGUCGAGCGAACGGACGAGAAGCUUGCUUCUCUGAUGUUAGCGGCGGACGGGUGAGUAACACGUGGAUAACCUACCUAUAAGACUGGGAUAACUUCUGGAAACCGUAGCUAAUACCGGAUAAUAUUUUGAACCGCAUGGUUCAAAAGUGAAAGACGGUCUUGCUGUCACUUAUAGAUGGAUCCGCGCUGCAUUAGCUAGUUGGUAAGGUAACGGCUUACCAAGGCAACGAUGCAUAGCCGACCUGAGAGGGUGAUCGGCCACACUGGAACUGAGACACGGUCCAGACUCCUACGGGAGGCAGUAGUAGGGAAUCUUCCGCAAUGGGCGAAAGCCUGACGGAGCAACGCCGCGUGAGUGAUGAAGGUCUUCGGAUCGUAAAACUCUGUUAUUAGGGAAGAACAUAUGUGUAAGUAACUGUGCACAUCUUGACGGUACCUAAUCAGAAAGCCACGGCUAACUACGUG